CUUAACUGCUGUCGAGGCAUGCAAGGAGGAUAAAGGCCAGAGUUAGGACAAGCAGGCGUGACAGAAAACAUGCUGGAAACCCUGAUUCCCAAGGGAGAGGGUCACCGUGUGAUGGUGGUGCUGGGACCACAUGCUGGAAAGGUGGGACUUCUUCUGAGUCGGGACAGCGUGCAGAGUCAAGCUUUGGUGCAACUUGGGAGAGAGAACCAGGUUGUAGAGCUCCACUAUGAUGCUAUCUGCCAGUACAUGGGUCCCAGUAACUCGGAUGAAGACUGACAUGUGGACCACUGUCAUCCCCCAGGCUGUCACUAGUUGUGUUGCAAUCUGCAAUGGAUGCCAUGGAGAAGAUAGGAGACAAUUGUUCUAUCCUCCUUUGAGGAGCAAGAACAGAGGUGUGAGUUGAUAGACCAGACUAUUUACCAAAAUUUAGAAUAUAAUAAAACCCAUUUUAAAAAGUGGGAAGAUGACAUCAAAACCAGUAUGUGAGCUGUGAAUUCAGGUGGGAACUGAGAUGACUGAGGUGGAGCUACUUCACUUCUUAGCCUCAUUUCCCUGCUCAGGGUGCAGGACAAGUUAAAUUACCUAUCCAAUACAGAGUUCCCUCUUGGAGCAUAGAAAUGAUGAGAUCUGCCGGGCGUUGGUGGCGCACGCCUUUAAUCCCAGCACUCGGGAGGCAGAGGCAGGCGGAUCUCUGUGAGUUCGAGACCAGCCUGGUCUACAGAGCUAGUUCCAGGACGGGCUCCAAAGCCGCAGAGAAACCCUGUCUCGA
Microtus oregoni (creeping vole) is the source of this 769-nucleotide long non-coding RNA. RefSeq lists it as uncharacterized. NCBI's taxonomy places the organism in Eukaryota, Metazoa, Chordata, Mammalia, Rodentia, Cricetidae. The transcript is spliced from 3 exons. The record is from RefSeq and is a predicted model, not a curated record.